AGAGUUUGAUCAUGGCUCAGGAUGAACGCUGGCGGCGUGCCUAACACAUGCAAGUCGAACGAAGCACUUUAUUACGAUUUCUUCGGAAUGACGAUUUGGUGACUGAGUGGCGGACGGGUGAGUAACGCGUGGAUAACCUGCCCCAUACAGGGGGAUAACAGUUAGAAAUGACUGCUAAUACUGCAUAAGCGCACAGUAUCGCAUGAUACGGUGUGAAAAACUCCGG
This 226-nucleotide ribosomal RNA is filed under the name uncultured bacterium. RNAcentral describes it as "partial 16S ribosomal RNA". It matches the Rfam family "Bacterial small subunit ribosomal RNA", at positions 8 to 214 of the family's 1533-position model. The record is from RNAcentral.